UAUAUUAAUUAAAUUAAAGCAUUAGAAUUACCAUUUAACCCAAAUCAACUAAACCCACAAAAAAAUUACUCUAUGAAACUUGAAAUUAAACUAGCGAAUAGGAAAAUAAGAAAAAUAUUAGGUAAGUGCAUUUAACUUUCUCUAAAAUAAAUUAUGAAUGUCAACCAAAAAUAAUAGAAAAGAAAGGAAAUAGACUCCCCUUUUGCGUGCCAGCGUUUGAGAUUCGAAGCCCAUAAGGGAAUCCGCUUAACCCAAAAGAUCAGGCUCACAAUUUCAGCCCAUUGCACCCAUAGACCUUGUUCUGUUGCGUGCGUUUGUACCGAAUCUCGACGUUUCCUUCUUCCUUCUGUCGAUUUUGAUCGUCAACGACACAAAGAAAAGAAAAAAAAUCGCAGCUCUCCCUUCGAUUCUCACAAUCGAUUGCUUCUCUGUGUCGUGUCUCGUUCUUUUCCUUCUUCACUUCUUAAAUCCGAUCGACACCUCCUCUUCUUCGCGUCUCCUCCCUUCGGUCGACAGAAGCCAAAUGAUUGCAGCUCCCUUCUCUCUUCCCUUCUCUCUUCUCCAAUCGAUCGAUGAAAUUAACAGCUCCUUAAUCUUGCUGAUUGAUCGCAGAAUUGAUGAAUGCUGGUGGUUUGGCGGAGGUUAAUGGAGUUGUAAGGUUGGGUGUUUGGUGAUGGUGGGUUCGAUGGUGGUGGCUGGAAUGUGGUAUAAGGUGGUAUUGAGUGGUUCGGUGGUGGCAGUUUUCACGAGACAAUGGGAGGAAUAAGGGUGGUUUCCAUUGGUGUGAUUUGGGUUGUUUGGUCGGAAUCGAACCGACCCGAACCCGAAUAACCUGAAAACCCCGAAUAAGGGUAAUUGUAAAAACCGGACCGAUUAACCAAUAUGGGUUCGGUUCGGUUUAGGCAUUAGUCGGUUUGGUUAUUAUCCAAAUAACCCGAAUAACUUAUACACGGUGAUUAUUGACCUAAUAUAAUUGAAAAAAAAGCGAAUAACCUGUAUUAAGAUUCUAUAAUCCGAAUAAUAAAAUAACAAUUUACUUUUAUAAAUGAACAUAAAACAUUCAAAGACUAAGAUAACACAAUAACACAUGAAAUAAUAACAUUUACGGAGUAGAUUAAUAUAAUAAGAAUUAAUUGCUUACUUGAGUUCCUUAAGUUCGAGCCCAAUUUUCCAUGACUAGACAAAGUAGGAAUUUGUGAAUCCUUAGAGACAAUAAGAAUGAUUGAUUUUUGAAUGUAUGAAACAUGAGGAAGGAUUGACAAAAGU
Molecule: long non-coding RNA, 1266 nt
Organism: Lactuca sativa (garden lettuce)
Lineage: Eukaryota; Viridiplantae; Streptophyta; Magnoliopsida; Asterales; Asteraceae
Source: RefSeq, a predicted model, not a curated record